AUAGAUGAGAUCUAAUUAUAUUGGUUAAAUGUAGUUAAUUUAUUAUUGAAGUUAAUUUUUUUAUUUUUAGGUGAAAUUUAAAUUUUAAUUAACUUUAUUUUGAUUCUUCGAGAUGUAAAAUUUAAACUAGGAUUAGAUACCCUAUUAUUUUAUAUGUAAAUUUUUUACCAGGGUAGUAGUAGAUAUUUUCUUUAAACCUAAAGAAUUUGGCGGUAUUUUAGUCUAUUCAGAGGAACCUGUUCUAUAAUCGAUAGUCCCCGUUAUAUCUUGCUUUAAUUUUGUUUACAGUAUGUAUACCGCCGUUAUAAGUUUAUUUUAUUAGAAUUAUUAAUUUACUUAAAAUAUAAUUUUAUCAUAUUUC
Molecule: ribosomal RNA, 361 nt
Filed under: Medauromorpha foedata
Lineage: Eukaryota; Metazoa; Arthropoda; Insecta; Phasmatodea; Phasmatidae
Description: partial small subunit ribosomal RNA
Source: RNAcentral